Molecule: ribosomal RNA, 592 nt
Filed under: Hanseniaspora uvarum
Lineage: Eukaryota; Fungi; Ascomycota; Saccharomycetes; Saccharomycodales; Saccharomycodaceae
Description: partial large subunit ribosomal RNA
Rfam family: Eukaryotic large subunit ribosomal RNA
Source: RNAcentral
UUUACAUGGGAUUACCUUAGUACGGCGAGUGAAGCGGUAAAAGCUCAAAUUUGAAAUCUGGUACUUUCAGUGCCCGAGUUGUAAUUUGUAGAAUUUGUCUUUGAUUAGGUCCUUGUCUAUGUUCCUUGGAACAGGACGUCAUAGAGGGUGAGAAUCCCGUUUGGCGAGGAUACCUUUUCUCUGUAAGACUUUUUCGAAGAGUCGAGUUGUUUGGGAAUGCAGCUCAAAGUGGGUGGUAAAUUCCAUCUAAAGCUAAAUAUUGGCGAGAGACCGAUAGCGAACAAGUACAGUGAUGGAAAGAUGAAAAGAACUUUGAAAAGAGAGUGAAAAAGUACGUGAAAUUGUUGAAAGGGAAGGGCAUUUGAUCAGACAUGGUGUUUUUUGCAUGCACUCGCCUCUCGUGGGCUUGGGCCUCUCAAAAAUUUCACUGGGCCAACAUCAAUUCUGGCAGCAGGAUAAAUCAUUAAGAAUGUAGCUACUUCGGUAGUGUUAUAGCUUUUUGGAAUACUGUUAGCCGGGAUUGAGGACUGCGCUUCGGCAAGGAUGUUGGCAUAAUGGUUAAAUGCCGCCCGUCUUGACCCACCCGAGAACC